UCUCAAGCAUUUAAGAAUAUAAUUCAAGUUACACGAACUUACCUCAUUACUUGUUUGUGUUUAUAAUUUCAUUAAUCUGAUAUCUUUUCUUUUCCACGAUCAAGUCUCAUAUUUGAGUCGUCCGGAUCUUUAUAAAUAAAUUUGAUCAUCAUUUUCAUUCAUUUCAUAUUCUAAUGCAUUUAAUUAAUACUCUAGGCAAAAUUACCAUUUUGCCCCUAAACUUUUAAUUAAUGACAAU
RNAcentral lists this long non-coding RNA (238 nucleotides) under Gossypium barbadense (sea-island cotton). RNAcentral's name for it is "long non-coding RNA (GBAR_LNC007475)". Lineage: Eukaryota; Viridiplantae; Streptophyta; Magnoliopsida; Malvales; Malvaceae. The record is from RNAcentral.